Molecule: small RNA, 89 nt
Filed under: Flavobacterium circumlabens
Lineage: Bacteria; Pseudomonadati; Bacteroidota; Flavobacteriia; Flavobacteriales; Flavobacteriaceae
Description: Flavo-1 RNA
Rfam family: Flavo-1 RNA
Source: RNAcentral
CCCUAGCCCGGACAGGAACGGCAUCCUUUUGUGGCGGUCCCGAGGCUUCGGGAUGGCCACAAAAGAUACAGUGGAUGGCCGGAAUCAGC